UACACGCGUGCAUGAAGGGAGUCGGAGAUCUGUGAAGCUGAUAACAGUGGUAACCGCCAAUGGAAUUAUGGAUGAUUUUCACUUUCUUCUUUAUACUUUUUAUUUUUCCAGUUGGGAAAAACCCCAGCACCAUUCAAAAGGAGAGAAGGAACGCCAUGGGUUUGAGACUUCCUGCCAGCCGCUCAGCUCCCACUCUGCUCUGGUCACCUCACCUUCCUGAACUUCAUCUGUUUGCUCAGCAAGAUGGGGUGCGAGGGUUGCAGUGAGGACAGAAAGAGGAGAGACUGAGGGUGCGGCACAGCAGGUCCCACACAUGGUAGGUGCUCACUACCCUGGCUGCCGACACUCAGUGCAGAGCCUGGGGAGACAGUGAGGCUUCCUGGUCCCGCACACGUGCUCUUGCCUGCCCUGUGCCCUUGUGCGCGUGCGUGCGAGCACACACACACACACACACACACACACACACACACACCGCGGUGCGCACAUGAGCGUGCUGUAACCUGCGUGGGGUGAGAGGAGAAAGCCCCAUCCCUGUCCAAGAUAAACACAGGAAGUGAAGAUCCCGGAGUGUCAGGGUGAGGUUGGGAGCUGUCCAUAAACUCUGGGCAGAGCCGGAGGGUGGAGGGGGCCCGAGGAGGGAGGGAGGGUGUGGGAGUCUGGGCAGGGGCCUGAGUUUGACAUCCGCUGUCCUGAGUUCAAAUGUGAAAAGUUGAAAUGGUGACUAAGCUUCGGGGCAGUCUUGGCUCUGCCUGCCUGCCUGCCCGUCUGUCUUGUCUGUCUGUGGAUCUGUCCAGGGCAACACCUGCACCCACCCACCUCUCACUUUCCAGCCCUGGGAUCUGUGAGGCCCCCACACUUUGGGAAGCCAGAACCUAUGUUCAGCAAAUGUUUGUUACAGGAAUGCACAGCUGGAAAGAAACAGGAUUGCCGGUCUGGGAUGCUCCUGACCCAGUGCUUGUCCUCGUGUGGAGAGAUUACAGCAGGGGCAGCGGCCACGCCCCAGAUGCCCACCUUCCUUGCUGGAGUCCUGGAUUCUGCUUCCCCUGUAGCCCACUGGAUCACAGGGGAGAGCUCCAUCAAAGCCACUCGGCCAGAGGCAGCUGCGUCUGGUCCAAAGCAGGGGCCCGCCCUUGGCUCCACGCUGCCCCACAGCACAUGCCAGGCUGA
This 1167-nucleotide long non-coding RNA is filed under the name Chinchilla lanigera (long-tailed chinchilla). Its description in RNAcentral is "lncRNA (ENSCLAG00000025032.1)". Lineage: Eukaryota; Metazoa; Chordata; Mammalia; Rodentia; Chinchillidae. The record is from RNAcentral.